Long non-coding RNA from Ostrea edulis (European flat oyster), 543 nucleotides. RefSeq lists it as uncharacterized. The record is from RefSeq and is a predicted model, not a curated record. NCBI's taxonomy places the organism in Eukaryota, Metazoa, Mollusca, Bivalvia, Ostreida, Ostreidae. The transcript is spliced from 3 exons.
UGGGGUCCGGAGUUUCUGCAGCACAGUCCGAUACGACAGAUUCUGACACAUUAACAAAAGUCGUGGGAGGGACGGUGGGAGCCGUGGGUCUUAUUGGUAUACUCAUCACAGGGAUACUGUAUAUACGAUGGAGAAGAAAGAACACAUGAAGACACGGAGACGGUAGCGUUUUCUUCUGUCCCAGAAACGUUAACAAUAGGUGCUAAAAGACAUGAAGAUAUGGAAAUGAGUGGAAUCGGAAAUCCUGGCUUAUAAUUAAAAACUAACGGGGAAAUGCUAAUGACGAAUACUAUAAUAGACAUAUCUGUCUCAGAUUUUGAUACAGCAAUAUUCGUCUUGUCUGAAAAUCAGAAUGUCAAGUUCAAAGAAGAAUACAUGAUAUGCAACUUUUGAUUAAUAAAAUUAUGUAACAGAUGACUCGUACAUAUGAAUAGUUCAAUUGAAAUUAAGUGGAUAUUGUGCAUGAUUGUCUGUAAUUUCUUGAUAUAUGAAAAUGAUUUAGCAAAACGUUUUAGUAUUAUUUCUUUGGAGGCUUUAAACUGG